UUAACAGAUGAUCUUAACAGCUGUUCGUCGGAGACGCAGUCUCCGGUAUGCUGGCCGGCUGCCGGGAGAUCCCCUUACCGGCCCGCCCUGUCAAGAUUUGAAUUAAAGAAACCGACUCACAUGUUUGAAACCGAAGAAGAUAAGCUUGAGAGUCAUGAACCUAUGGAUUUGGAGCUCGAAAUGAUGAAAGAAAGAUUCGCAAAACUUUUAUUGGGAGAAGACAUGUCUGGCAGCGGCAAAGGAGUUUCUACUGCGGUUACUGUUUCUAAUGCCAUCACAAAUUUUUACGCUUCUAUGUUUGGCCAACAUCAAAAGUUAGAGCCGUUGCAUCUCGAGAAGAAGAUGAUGUGGAAACGGGAGAUUAACUGCUUACUCUCGGUUUGUGAUUCAUCGUAGAAUUUAUCCCAAUGUCACAUAGUUUACAGAAUGGAAAAGCCAUGGAGGUGAUGUCUAGCCGACCAAGGUCGGAUAUUUAUAUCAACCUUCCAGCCUUAAAGAAGCUCGACGCGCUCCUGUUGCUUCAAAGAGAAGAAUUUUGGUAUGUGGAGCAAUGAAGCAUGUCAAGAAAUUCAAGAUUGGGGUCAUUUCGAAAAAUUCCUCAGCCUUUGAGAAAAGACAAGAAAUGGUGGUUGCCCAUUCCUUGCGUGAGCCCCGAAGGAUUUUGAAGAAGGGUUUGAGUCUUCUACAGUUUCUUCAUUGGAUCAAGGAGCAGUUGAUGAUGAUUAUGAACAUGAUCAAUCACCCACGAUAAAUUCGACACUCAGUGGUCGUUCGUUUGCGUACUAUAGAACUAACUCGGAGACUUCAGCUUUCUUUGAGCAGUUAACGGAUGAUCUUAACACCCUUUUCCUCUCAGCAAGAUAUGAUUCUUUUUAAAUUUGUGAUUGUUAACAAAAUUGCGUUUUUUUUUGUUUAUUACAGGAAAUAUUGGAUAGCUUCAAAGAGAAGAAUUUUGGUAUGUGGAGCAAGGAAGCAUGUCGGUAAAUUCAAGAUCGGGGUCAUUUCGAAAAAUUCCUCAGCCUCAGAGAAAAGACGAGAAAUGAUUAUGAACAUGAUCAAUCACCCACGAUAAAUUCGACAUUCAGUGGUC
This is a long non-coding RNA of Helianthus annuus (common sunflower), 1090 nucleotides long. RefSeq lists it as uncharacterized. The record is from RefSeq and is a predicted model, not a curated record. NCBI's taxonomy places the organism in Eukaryota, Viridiplantae, Streptophyta, Magnoliopsida, Asterales, Asteraceae. The transcript is spliced from 4 exons.